RNAcentral lists this signal recognition particle RNA (98 nucleotides) under Nitrospinaceae bacterium. Its description in RNAcentral is "signal recognition particle sRNA small type". It matches the Rfam family "Bacterial small signal recognition particle RNA". From Rfam's summary of the family: The signal recognition particle (SRP) is a universally conserved ribonucleoprotein involved in the co-translational targeting of proteins to membranes. Archaeal SRP consists of a 7S RNA and homologues of the eukaryotic SRP19 and SRP54 proteins. The record is from RNAcentral. Lineage: Bacteria; Pseudomonadati; Nitrospinota; Nitrospinia; Nitrospinales; Nitrospinaceae.
UGUUGGGCCUCACGCAACGAGGCCUUGUGAACCCCGUCAGGUCCGGAAGGAAGCAGCGGUAGCAAGAAUCCCCGGGUGCUGUGAGCUCCCCAGCAAUU